Molecule: long non-coding RNA, 261 nt
Organism: Grus americana (Whooping crane)
Lineage: Eukaryota; Metazoa; Chordata; Aves; Gruiformes; Gruidae
Exons: 3
Source: RefSeq, a predicted model, not a curated record
CCCGGUCCCGCCUCAUGCCUCCCCUUCAAGCGAUGGAGCAUCAAAAACAAUUUAGGUAGCCGGCACUUAUCUAUAAGGAUAUCUCUAUAUGAUGUGUGUCAUCUCCAGGUGCUUUACAAACAGAUUCUCAGAAAAAGUACAGAUGUCGCUGACACCGUGACAGGGCCUGGUAGAAGCGUUGCAAUGGAAAACAAGAGAUUCGGACCGACAGGAGAAUGUGACGUGUAAGCCAACAGCUGGCAGACAUGCAGCCAGGCCUGU